Molecule: ribosomal RNA, 690 nt
Filed under: Streptomyces cirratus
Lineage: Bacteria; Bacillati; Actinomycetota; Actinomycetes; Kitasatosporales; Streptomycetaceae
Description: bacterial SSU rRNA
Rfam family: Bacterial small subunit ribosomal RNA
Source: RNAcentral
CGAUGAAGCCCUUCGGGGUGGAUUAGUGGCGAACGGGUGAGUAACACGUGGGCAAUCUGCCCUUCACUCUGGGACAAGCCCUGGAAACGGGGUCUAAUACCGGAUAAUACUCCUGCCUGCAUGGGUGGGGGUUAAAAGCUCCGGCGGUGAAGGAUGAGCCCGCGGCCUAUCAGCUUGUUGGUGGGGUAAUGGCCCACCAAGGCGACGACGGGUAGCCGGCCUGAGAGGGCGACCGGCCACACUGGGACUGAGACACGGCCCAGACUCCUACGGGAGGCAGCAGUGGGGAAUAUUGCACAAUGGGCGAAAGCCUGAUGCAGCGACGCCGCGUGAGGGAUGACGGCCUUCGGGUUGUAAACCUCUUUCAGCAGGGAAGAAGCGAAAGUGACGGUACCUGCAGAAGAAGCGCCGGCUAACUACGUGCCAGCAGCCGCGGUAAUACGUAGGGCGCAAGCGUUGUCCGGAAUUAUUGGGCGUAAAGAGCUCGUAGGCGGCUUGUCACGUCGGAUGUGAAAGCCCGAGGCUUAACCUCGGGUCUGCAUUCGAUACGGGCUAGCUAGAGUGUGGUAGGGGAGAUCGGAAUUCCUGGUGUAGCGGUGAAAUGCGCAGAUAUCAGGAGGAACACCGGUGGCGAAGGCGGAUCUCUGGGCCAUUACUGACGCUGAGGAGCGAAAGCGUGGGGAGCGAACA